GACGAACGCUGGCGGCGUGCCUAAUACAUGCAAGUAGAACGCUCAAGAGAGGAGCUUGCUCUUCUUAGGUGAGCUGCGAACGGGUGAGUAACGCGUAGGUAACCUGCCUUUUAGCCGGGGAUAACUAUGGGAAACGGUAGCUAAUACCGCAUAACAUUGGAUACCACAUGUCUUUUAUGUGAAAGAGGGAAUUGUUGCACCACAUGAUGGACCCGCGUUGUAUUAGCUAGUAGGUUAGGUAAUGGCCUACCUAGGCGACGAUACCUAGCCGGACUGAGGAGGUGAACGGCCCCACUGGGACUGAGGCACGGCCCCGGCUUCUACGGGAGGGAACAGUAGGGAAUCUUCCGGCAAGGGGGGAACCCUGGACGAGGAACGCCGCGUGAGGGAAGAAGGUUCUCGGAUCGUAAAGCUUCGUUGUUAGUCAAGAACGGAUGUGGGAGGGGACAGUUCACACUGUGACGGUAGCUUAUCAGAAAGGGACGGCUAACUACGUG
Molecule: ribosomal RNA, 497 nt
Filed under: uncultured bacterium
Lineage: Bacteria
Description: partial 16S ribosomal RNA
Rfam family: Bacterial small subunit ribosomal RNA
Source: RNAcentral